RNAcentral lists this ribosomal RNA (512 nucleotides) under Vibrio cholerae TMA 21. RNAcentral describes it as "bacterial LSU rRNA". It matches the Rfam family "Bacterial large subunit ribosomal RNA", at positions 2419 to 2925 of the family's 2925-position model. The record is from RNAcentral. Lineage: Bacteria; Pseudomonadati; Pseudomonadota; Gammaproteobacteria; Vibrionales; Vibrionaceae.
UCCGGUGGUUCUGUAUGGAAGGGCCAUCGCUCAACGGAUAAAAGGUACUCCGGGGAUAACAGGCUGAUACCGCCCAAGAGUUCAUAUCGACGGCGGUGUUUGGCACCUCGAUGUCGGCUCAUCACAUCCUGGGGCUGAAGUCGGUCCCAAGGGUAUGGCUGUUCGCCAUUUAAAGUGGUACGCGAGCUGGGUUUAGAACGUCGUGAGACAGUUCGGUCCCUAUCUGCCGUGGGCGUUGGAAGAUUGAAGGGGGCUGCUCCUAGUACGAGAGGACCGGAGUGGACGAACCUCUGGUGUUCGGGUUGUGUCGCCAGACGCAUUGCCCGGUAGCUAAGUUCGGAAUUGAUAAGCGCUGAAAGCAUCUAAGCGCGAAGCGAGCCCUGAGAUGAGUCUUCCCUGAUACUUUAAGUAUCCUAAAGGGUUGUUCGAGACUAGAACGUUGAUAGGCAGGGUGUGUAAGCGUUGUGAGGCGUUGAGCUAACCUGUACUAAUUGCCCGUGAGGCUUAACCAU